AAAAAAAAAUCAAAAAA
Molecule: small RNA, 17 nt
Filed under: Arabidopsis thaliana (thale cress)
Lineage: Eukaryota; Viridiplantae; Streptophyta; Magnoliopsida; Brassicales; Brassicaceae
Description: ATSL129680
Source: RNAcentral